GAUGAACGCUAGCGGCAGGCUUAACACAUGCAAGUCGAGGGGUAACAGGAUUUAGUUUACUAGAUUGCUGACGACCGGCGCACGGGUGAGUAACGCGUAUACAAUUUGCCUUUUACUGGAGGAUAGCCCAGAGAAAUUUGGAUUAAUACUCCAUAGUAUUAUUUGGUCACCUGAUCGAGUAAUUAAAGUUCCGGCGGUAAAAGAUGAGUAUGCGUCCUAUUAGCUAGAUGGUAAGGUAACGGCUUACCAUGGCGACGAUAGGUAGGGGUCCUGAGAGGGAGAUCCCCCACACUGGUACUGAGACACGGACCAGACUCCUACGGGAGGCAGCAGUGAGGAAUAUUGGGCAAUGGAGGCAACUCUGACCCAGCCAUGCCGCGUGCAGGAAGACUGCCCUAUGGGUUGUAAACUGCUUUUAUACAGGAAGAAACUUAUCCACGUGUGGAUAACUGACGGUACUGUAAGAAUAAGGACCGGCUAACUCCGUG
RNAcentral lists this ribosomal RNA (488 nucleotides) under uncultured Bacteroidota bacterium. RNAcentral's name for it is "bacterial SSU rRNA". It matches the Rfam family "Bacterial small subunit ribosomal RNA", at positions 28 to 507 of the family's 1533-position model. Lineage: Bacteria; Pseudomonadati; Bacteroidota. The record is from RNAcentral.